UUUCUUCGGAAAUGAGAGAGCGGCGUACGGGUGCGGAACACGUGUGCAACCUGCCUUUAUCUGGGGGAUAGCCUUUCGAAAGGAAGAUUAAUACUCCAUAAUAUAUUGAUUGGCAUCAAUUAAUAUUGAAAGCUCCGGCGGAUAGAGAUGGGCACGCGCAAGAUUAGCUAGUUGGUGAGGUAACGGCUCACCAAGGCAAUGAUCUUUAGGGGGCCUGAGAGGGUGAUCCCCCACACUGGUACUGAGACACGGACCAGACUCCUACGGGAGGCAGCAGUGAGGAAUAUUGGUCAAUGGGUGCAAGCCUGAACCAGCCAUCCCGCGUGAAGGACGACUGCCCUAUGGGUUGUAAACUUCUUUUGUAUAGGGAUAAACCUACCCUCGUGAGGGUAGCUGAAGGUACUAUACGAAUAAGCACCGGCUAACUCCGUGCCAGCAGCCGCGGUAAUACGGAGGGUGCAAGCGUUAUCCGGAUUUAUUGGGUUUAAAGGGUCCGUAGGCGGACUUAUAAGUCAGUGGUGAAAGCCUGUCGCUUAACGAUAGAACUGCCAUUGAUACUGUAAGUCUUGA
Molecule: ribosomal RNA, 570 nt
Filed under: bacterium RBM-C7
Lineage: Bacteria
Description: bacterial SSU rRNA
Rfam family: Bacterial small subunit ribosomal RNA
Source: RNAcentral